CAGACAGGGGUUGCGAAGCGGAAAUACCACCACUCUCCAGCCCAACUUGUGAGGACUGAUUGCAGGGGGACUGGUGCUCCAGAUGUUGCACUAGAGGCGCUGCAAGUGUGAGCAGGUGGCAGUGGAUUUACAUCACAGGUUGUAGCAGAUGUUCUCAACGUUUCUAUUGAAGUUUCCUCAUCAUCACUUACAGGAGGAGCUCCAGAACCUCACUGCUGUGGUAACCACAAUGAUCUGAUAUAAGCUGUUGUUCACCAGGGAACUUUGGCAAGAGAAUUGGCUAGAUCAGCAAGUCCAUUUCCAUUGUGGAAAACAAGUUGAAACUCAUCUCUACUAAUGUGUAUAAACAAAUCCUAAGGUCACAGACUGAUCGGAUUGAUACUCACUGAAGUCAGAUGAAAGUCCUAACUGUAAGGAGAGGAUCGUUAUAUUACAGGAGGUCCACAUAUGCUCUGGUGUUAUAAUCAAUUUAAAGUUGGAAAAAGACCCUUCUUGAAA
Molecule: long non-coding RNA, 498 nt
Organism: Pteronotus mesoamericanus
Lineage: Eukaryota; Metazoa; Chordata; Mammalia; Chiroptera; Mormoopidae
Exons: 5
Source: RefSeq, a predicted model, not a curated record